This 746-nucleotide unclassified non-coding RNA is filed under the name uncultured fungus. RNAcentral's name for it is "partial contains ITS1, 5.8S rRNA and ITS2". The stretch from base 215 to 366 matches the Rfam family "5.8S ribosomal RNA". The record is from RNAcentral. Lineage: Eukaryota; Fungi.
CUAAGGAAAACGGCGGGGGGAAGGCGCGCGAGGUCUGUCGCUGUAUGUUUUGACACCUAUUUGUGCACGCCGGACAGCUCCUCUCUCUCACAUACUAUCCCCCUCAGCCUUUUGUGCACCACCGGACGUUUUACCUUUGUGAUGUGUGUUUUUUCACGGAACCCCUUUUCUGAAGUGGAUAAUGACCCCACUUUGCUAUGACACGCUUCUGAAUUGCUUUCAUCAACGGAUCUCUUGGCUCUUGAAUCCAUAAAGAACCCAUUGAAAUGCGAUACGUAAUGUGAAUUGCAGAAUUCUUUGAAUCAUCAAAUCUUUGAAGGCACCUUGCGCCCCUUGUCCUCCGAGGGGCAUUCCGUUUGACUGUAGUGAAAAUCUCAACCUUCUCGGAUUUCUUCUGUACCCGAAGGAGGCUUGGACUUUGUAGGCCUUUGCUGGAAUCUCUCUGUAGACAGCUCCUCUUAGUGAAUUAGCGCUGACCUCUUUGCCGAUCCUUGACAUGUGAUAAGAUGUUUCCAUGACUCGGUUUCUGGCUCUGUUGCAUUUGGCACCUACUUCUAACCGUCUCGACCAAACCAUAUUUGGAAGUGACUCCCCUUCUCGGGGAGACUCUCUCGACCCCACGAACCCUUGACCUCAAAUCGGGUGAAGACUACCCGCUGAACUUAACCAUAUCAAUAAACGGAGGAAAGCUUGGGUCUUUGACAGGAAGUAAGAUAUAAUAAACGAAGACAAGAAAAAUGAUUUCU